UACGUAGGGUGCAAGCGUUGUCCGGAAUUAUUGGGCGUAAAGAGCUCGUAGGCGGUUUGUUGCGUCGGCUGUGAAAUCCCGAGGCUCAACCUCGGGUCUGCAGUCGAUACGAGCAAACUAGAGUGUUGCAGGGGAGACUGGAAUUCCUGGUGUAGCGGUGAAAUGCGCAGAUAUCAGGAGGAACACCGGUGGCGAAGGCGGGUCUCUGGGCAUGUCCUGACGCUGAGGAGCGAAAGUGUGGGGAGCGAACAGG
This 253-nucleotide ribosomal RNA is filed under the name uncultured bacterium. RNAcentral's name for it is "partial 16S ribosomal RNA". It matches the Rfam family "Bacterial small subunit ribosomal RNA", at positions 524 to 776 of the family's 1533-position model. The record is from RNAcentral.